Carassius gibelio (silver crucian carp) is the source of this 3519-nucleotide long non-coding RNA. RefSeq lists it as uncharacterized. The transcript has 2 exons. Lineage: Eukaryota; Metazoa; Chordata; Actinopteri; Cypriniformes; Cyprinidae. The record is from RefSeq and is a predicted model, not a curated record.
CAGUGCGUGAUAGGCGCGCGAUUGGAGGAGUGGGGGUGCGUGGCUGCGGCUGGGCGUGCCGUGUGGAGAGAGUCAACAGUGCCGCUGUAAACUCGCUGAACUCACAGUCCGGAACUGGGCGAAAGUUCGCAGCCUUUAGGAGCCGUGUAAGAGUUAAAAUAGUGUUUGUGUGUCAGGUCAGUCUAAACACGUAAGGGCUGCACACACUGCACCGGGAGCCGAAUUAGAACCGCAGACACGAAGAAGCAAGAACACGAAUGCAUUUAUGCUUACAUCCAGUCGAAUGUUAAAUUAAUAAUUUCAAUGGUGAUUAAUCCUUAAGCAAUGCAUAACUUCAAUAAUAAUAAUAAAAAAAACUCUUUAAUUUUAAAUAAUGAUAAAAUGGUUAACAACCAUGCAUUUUUAAGCUUAGCCUACUCUUAAAGGCAAACUAUGUGCUGUUUUAAAUUUUUAUUGACAUUUGACACAUUCCUGCAGGGUCUAAAGGGGUCAUCUUUGUUUUAUGGUUUUCUUUUACAUGACACCAAAAGUAGUUUUCUGCUCUUUUAGCUUUUUAAAGUAUUUUUCACAGUCUCCAGUUAUCUUUUUAAUGUAUUUUGAACAACUUAAAUAAUUUUUUAAAAAUAUACUUUUAACAUGACUGCACACAAAUGUGAAAGUGAAAACAUGAACAAUGAAUUUCCAUGAAUUUCCAGAUGCUUAUCAUGUCUAAACAUGAACACGAAGAUACAUAACAUUUUUGUAGAGACUGUCCUUUGAAAAAAAAUUAUUGAAAAAUUGAAAAACUAAUGCAAUUUUAUUAAUUCUGUCUUUAUAAAAUUUUCUUGCAGCAUAGCAUACAAUUUGUCCUGUUGAAAUGUAAUAGAUUGUUUUCAAAUCACAACAUUUUUGGCCCAGAAUAGUUUAGUGUUUACAAUCUAUAUAGUUUGCAUAAUAUGCAAUGAAAUUUAAACAUAAAAAUAAGCCACAACUCUUAAUGCAAUCAGCUGUGUUAAUGCAAUAUAGACUUACCUCAAUCUCUGGUCUGAUUUGAACCCAGUUAAGGGCCUUUAAAAAAACAAUAAUUCUUGAAGUUGUGAGGUGGAUGUAACCAUCUCUGUUUAUGAUAAUGUGCUGAAAAUUCGCCUGUCUUGUCUGAAUUUAGUAUUUUUUUUAGUCACACCCUCUCAGUGAGGACGGGGUGACAGUAACUCAUUUGUAGACAUUCAGAAGCAGUGACAUUUAAGGAAGUCGAUGUUAAAUGAAGUCAUCCUGAAAAAUGUCAGGAUGUUCUGAUCACAGUCCCUGCAGGUGAUAGACGAUGCUGUAAAAGUGCUUUAUGAGACUAUUCUUUGAAAGGAAAAUCUGUUCAGGGAACGUCUUUUUUCAGUCCCUGCUACAAAUACACACUGAUACCGACAGACUGAGCAUGAACACUGUCAGACAUCCAAGUAUUUUAUCUUAACCAUUUAUCAGUCAUUUUACUUUACCAGGGAAUCAUUUGAAAACUUACAUUAUGCAUGAGUCUUUGAAGAGAAUUACCCUAAAAUGGGAGAUAUGAAUGAAAAAAAUAUGAUAUAGUGAUUUUAUUACCCCUAAAUUACAUGAUUAAAGUAUGAAAUAUUUCAAAUGGUGAACCAGCAUGAAGGUGUUUGGAGACUAUUUUCAGAACAGUUGAAUAGUGACAGCAUUUUGUGACUGAAGAUUAAUAAAUUGUUUAUCACAUAAAUAUAUGGUAAUAAAACAUGUAUAGACAUAAAACAUGUAUAGAUAUAUCCUUAAGAUAAAAUAAAAUGUAUAUCUUUAAACAAAAUGUUAAUCUUUGAACAUAAUAAUAUUUCAAAUAUAAGUUUAUACUGUAUAGCAUUAUCAAUAAUUAAAAAAAAUCUGUAUUGUGCCCCAUAAGAAAGUUGAAGUACCUUGCUCAGACAGGAACAAAAAUAUCCAAUCUUUUAAUUUAUUAAUUGUUCAUUUUAAUCAUUUUCGAUUUAGUUUAUUAGGCUAAGACAUUUGAUGGGACAAAAACAAGAAAAUGUGCUGCAAAGUUAUGUGUCAUGCCUGUUAAAUAAAUAACAGGCUGUAUGAUUUCCAAUUCUUUGAGCACUAAUAUUUUAAUUUAAUAUUUUCAUUUUUAUAAAAAAAAAAAAAAUACUGAUUUGCCUAAUUUUUAAGUUUGCAUCAUUAUCAAAAUCAUCUGUGAUUUUGUUACUUUCUUGUUUAAUUCUGUGAAGCUGCUUUGAAACAAUCUCUAUUAAAGGUAAAAAGAUCCUCUUCAGCUCUCCAUAGGAUGAAAGGCCACAUGUCAGUUUGUCUGCUGGUGUGCACUUAUGAAAGCAGCAGAACGGCCGAGUGCAUCACGUAAGCUCAGGCGGUCCGUGCUGUAGUGAUGAUCAUGUUCUGCCAACAGCAGUACGGUGAGCGGCGUGUGGGAAGUGUAGGAGUUAUGUUAGGAGCAUGAGGCAUGUUAGUGAUAUAAGUGGGCCAGACUGAGAAAGAAGGGAAGGAAACUAGAGGAAAGGUUAUGCUAUUCACAUCACCCCUUCCCAAACCUCCCAGCACCCUACACCAGGUCUAAUAUAAUGGCUUCAAUCCAGAGUUAUUUUAAAAGGUGUUGGAAAUACUACUCUGCUUGUGGUGUUGUUGUAUUAUGCACACAAUUCAGUCUUAUAUCAGUUGAAACUUUCAUUGUACAGCAAUGCAAUAACAUUUUUACUAUAUUUUCUAUACUGCAGGCUACACAACACUACUUCAAUCUUUUUUCUGAAGACCUAAAGUAAGGUACCUACAUUGUAAUCAGCUGUCAUUAAAAGGUAUCGGCCACAUGUGUGUCUGUUUGUGUUGUGUGUGUGUGUGUGUGUGUGUGUGUUGGCAGCACUUAUUGGCAAUUCAGACGCACGUAGAUUUCAACAACAGGCUGAUCAACAGAAACUCCUCGCUUCACUGCAGUGGCUGACUCAUGGAGAUCCAGCAAGGCCUCUGCUGCUUCUGCGUGUCUAUGUUGAUCAUCUCUGGACUUCAUCCUCUCCAUUCGUUUAAGCGAUGCUUCUGGCAUGGGGCUACAUUUCUGAUAACCGAGGUUAACUGUAGGAGCCCAGUCUACAUUUAAAGCACUACGGCAGCCUUAAGAGAACAGUACAGUAGCAAUAAUCCUGUAAAGACUUGCUAAUGUAAUAUAUUUCUGUUAAAUUACAGGAGUAAGAUUCAUUUUUAAUGUCUAUAAGUAUGGAAAAGCUAACUUUAUAUAAACAUAGUAUAUUUAAGUUAUAACUUACCUCUGACAAAGUGGUCACUAUGUGCAAAGAAACUAUAAAAAAAUGAUUGGAAUUAUGAAACGAGUAACAUGUCAACAGGGGGGAAAACAUUAAUUAUUAUCAAUGUGAAAACCGUUAUGCUGUUUAAUAUUUCAAUGGAAACUGAUAAUUAUUUAUAAUUAUUAUUAUUUCUUUUUUUGAUGUCACUUUUGAUCAAUUACAUGCAUCCUUGCUGAAUAAAAGUAUUAAUUUAUUUUGAUAAAUAAAUAAAUACACCCAAUCCUUUGAA